This 93-nucleotide ribosomal RNA is filed under the name Bison bison bison. Lineage: Eukaryota; Metazoa; Chordata; Mammalia; Artiodactyla; Bovidae. The record is from RNAcentral.
CCUGAAGGCGCCCGAUCUCGUCUGAUCUCGGAAGCUAAGCAGGGUCGGGCCUGGUUAGGAUCUUGGAUGGGAGACCACCUGGGAAUCCCGGGU